RNAcentral lists this ribosomal RNA (448 nucleotides) under uncultured bacterium. Its description in RNAcentral is "bacterial SSU rRNA". It matches the Rfam family "Bacterial small subunit ribosomal RNA", at positions 329 to 794 of the family's 1533-position model. The record is from RNAcentral.
ACCCAGACUCCUACGGGAGGCAGCAGUGGGGAAUAUUGCACAAUGGGGGGAACCCUGAUGCAGCGACGCCGCGUGAGUGAAGAAGUAUUUCGGUAUGUAAAGCUCUCUCAGCAGGGAAGAAGAUGACGGUACCUGACUAAGAAGCCCCGGCUAACUACGUGCCAGCAGCCGCGGUAAUACGUAGGGGGCAAGCGUUAUCCGGAUUUACUGGGUGUAAAGGGAGCGUAGACGGCAGGGCAAGUCUGGAGUGAAAGCCCGGGGCCCAACCCCGGGACUGCUUUGGAAACUGCCAUGCUAGAGUGCUGGAGAGGUAAGCGGAAUUCCUAGUGUAGCGGUGAAAUGCGUAGAUAUUAGGAGGAGCACCAGUGGCGAAGGCGGCUUACUGGACAGUAACUGACGUUGAGGCUCGAAAGCGUGGGGAGCAAACAGGAUUAGAUACCCGAGUAUA